CACCCCGUCAGCUGCCUGGUCAACAGCCCCAGCCAACCAGAACGCGCUGCGUGGCAGAGACGCUGACGCGGGAGGCCACGCGGAAGGGAGACACAUGAGCGAUCCGCGUGUGCGCGAUCGAACGACUGAGAUUCGUUCCCGCGCACACGGAUGGCCUAGAUUGCACGCGCACGGACGGUCCAGAUUGAAUCGCGCACAGACGGCUCAGAUUGCAUCGUGAUGAACGGCCUAGAUUCAUUUUCUAUUUAAUCGCGAUCAGACUGCUCGGAUUGAAUUGCGAUGGAUGGCUCAGAUUAAAAGUGGAUGGUUAUAAAUAAUCUCAUCCGCACCCAAACCCUAACUGUCGCCGCCAGAGCCCCUCGCCGGAGAAGACAGCCCAGCUGCCGGGGAGCCGACCGCUGCCACUUGCCGCCGCACCAGAUCAACUUCCAGCUGCCAAACGAGGUAAAUAUUCUCCCCUUGGCUCAGAAUUCGAUUCUAAACCCACCUAUGGCCAAAUCAUAACGAAAAUACCGUCCAAUUGGCCGAAAAACACCGCUAAAGCCUUGUCGCGCUGCCGCGGGUUGUCUCGAUUUUUUCCUCCGAUGAGACCCUUCCCGAUUCCCAUUCGAUGUAAUUUUUCCACCAUUGUGACCACUGUUCCCUCCUCUAUAGGUUGAUCGGAGCAAAAAACCAAACCG
RNAcentral lists this long non-coding RNA (680 nucleotides) under Carica papaya (papaya). Its description in RNAcentral is "long non-coding RNA (CPAP_LNC001441)". The record is from RNAcentral. Lineage: Eukaryota; Viridiplantae; Streptophyta; Magnoliopsida; Brassicales; Caricaceae.